AUGAACGCUGACAGAAUGCUUAACACAUGCAAGUCUACUUGAAGCUAACUUCGGUUAGUGGAGGGUGGCGGACGGGUGAAUAACGCGUAAAGAACUUGCCUCACAGUUUGGGACAACAUUUGGAAACGAAUGCUAAUACCGGAUAUUAUGAUACUUCUGCAUGGAAGAAUCAUGAAAGCUAUAUGCGCUGUGAGAAAGCUUUGCGUCCCAUUAACUAGUUGGAGAGGUAACGGCUCACCAAGGCGAUGAUGGGUAGCCGGGCUGAAAGGGUGAACGGCCACAAGGGGACUGAAACACGGCCCUUACUCCUACGGGAGGCAGCAGUGGGGAAUAUUGGACAAUGGACCAAAAAUCUGAUCCAGCAAUUCUGUGUGCACGAUGAAGUUUUUCGGAAUGUAAAGUGCUUUCAGUUGGGAAGAAGCAAGUGACGGUACCAACAGAAAAAGCGACGGCUAAAUACGUGCCAGCAGCCGCGGUAAUACGUAUGUCGCAAGCGUUAUCCGGAUUUAUUGGGCGUAAAGCGCGUCUAGGUGGUUAUAUAAGUCUGAUGUGAAAAUGCGGGGCUCAACUCCGUAUUGCGUUGGAAACUGUAUGACUAGAGUACUGGAGAGGUAAGCGGAACUACUAGUGUAGAGGUGAAAUUCGUAGAUAUUUGUAGGAAUGCCGAUGGGGAAGCCAGCUUACUGGACAGAUACUGACGCUAAAGCGCGAAGCGUGGGUAGCAAGCAAG
This 730-nucleotide ribosomal RNA is filed under the name uncultured bacterium. Its description in RNAcentral is "bacterial SSU rRNA". It matches the Rfam family "Bacterial small subunit ribosomal RNA", at positions 29 to 776 of the family's 1533-position model. The record is from RNAcentral.